GCAGUUUGCAGUUUGUGGAAGUUCUAUAACCUAACCAAAUGUUGUGGUUUUUUUUUUUUGAAUACUGAUUAAUCAUCAUAUUACUGCAUUACACAGAUAUUUACAACUGCUAUUAUAGCAGAUAUAUUACACUGAUAUUUACAAUCAGAAAUACAUGAUUGGGACUUAUAUUAUUACAUUGAAUUCUGUGAAGUACAUGCCCAGACAAAUAAUCCCUUACAGAAGAGGGAUGUCCAUACUGCACUGAUAUUUACAAUCAGAAAUACAUGAUUGGGACUUAUAUUAUUACAUUGAAUUCUGUGAAGUACAUGCCCAGACAAAUAAUCCCUUACAGAAGAGGAAUGUCCAUACUCCACUCAUAUUGCACGAGAGGGAUGUCCAUACUCCACUGAUAUUUAUAAUCAGAAAUACAUGAUUGGGACUUAUAUUAUUACAUUGAAUUCUGUGAAAUACAUGCCCAGACAAAUAAUCCCUUACAGAAGAGGAAUGUCCAUACUCCACUCAUAUUGCACGAGGGAGAGGAAAUUUUUGAAAUAUUAAAUAAAUAAGCAUGUUAGCCCCCACAAAUACUUUUGUGGAGGCUUGAAC
This 588-nucleotide long non-coding RNA is filed under the name Citrus maxima (pomelo). RNAcentral describes it as "long non-coding RNA (CMAX_LNC003552)". The record is from RNAcentral. Lineage: Eukaryota; Viridiplantae; Streptophyta; Magnoliopsida; Sapindales; Rutaceae.